GCUGGCGGUGCGCCUUAUGCAUGCAAGUCGAGCGAAGCUUUUCAGUAGUUUACUACAGAAAAUGACUGAGCGGCGAACGGGUGAGUAACGCGUGAGCAAUCUACCUUAGUUACUGGGAUAGCCCGAGGAAACUCGGAUUAAUACCGGAUAAUCUUAUUACAUCACAUGAUAUUUUAAGUAAAGGUCAGCCGAACUAAGAUGAGCUCGCGUUCUAUCAGCUUGUUGGUGGGGUAAAAGCCUACCAAGGCUACGACGGAUAGCUGGUCUGAGAGGACGAUCAGCCACACUGGGACUGAGACACGGCCCAGACUCCUACGGGAGGCUGCAGCAGGGAAUAUUGCGCAAUGAGCGAAAGCUUGACGCAGCGACACCGCGUGUGGGAUGACGGUUCUAGGAUUGUAAACCACUUUCAGGAGGGAAGAAAAUGACGGUACCUCCACAAGAAGCCCCGGCCAACUACGUGCCAGCAGCCGCGGUAAUACGUAGGGGGCGAGCGUUGUCCGGAUUUAUUGGGCGUAAAGAGCUCGUAGGCGGUUCAACAAGUCGGUCGUGAAAGUUCAGGGCUUAACCCUGAAAUGUCGAUCGAUACUGUUGUGACUAGGAUAUGGUAGAGGUGAGUGGAAUUCCGAGUGUAGCGGUGAAAUGCGUAGAUAUUCGGAGGAACACCAAUAGCGAAGGCAGCUCACUGGACCACUAUCGACGCUGAGGAGCGAAAGCUAGGGGAGCAAACAGGAUUAGAUACCCUGGUAGUCCUAGCUGUAAACGAUGGAUACUAGAUGUAGGAAUUGGAUUGACGAUUUCUGUAUCGUAGCUAACGCGUUAAGUAUCCCGCCUGGGGAGUACGGU
Molecule: ribosomal RNA, 846 nt
Filed under: uncultured bacterium
Lineage: Bacteria
Description: bacterial SSU rRNA
Rfam family: Bacterial small subunit ribosomal RNA
Source: RNAcentral